ACCUUCUCAUGAGCUCCUCUUAAUCAUACUAGUGAUUUUGUAUGGAUUCGCACGAGAAGCAGAGAAAUGCACAGUUAAACAAGCUUGCCCUGUUUGCAUGUGGGUGUUGGCUCAUGUCUGCUGUGCUACAUGU
Small nucleolar RNA from Salarias fasciatus (jewelled blenny), 133 nucleotides. Its record names the gene SNORA75. It matches the Rfam family "Small nucleolar RNA SNORA75". From Rfam's summary of the family: U23 belongs to the H/ACA class of snoRNAs. snoRNAs bind a number of proteins (including dyskerin, Gar1p and Nop10p in the case of the H/ACA class) to form snoRNP complexes. This class are thought to guide the sites of modification of uridines to pseudouridines by forming direct base pairing interactions with substrate RNAs. The record is from Ensembl. Lineage: Eukaryota; Metazoa; Chordata; Actinopteri; Blenniiformes; Blenniidae.